GGGGAUGAAGAUCAUAUCUUGCUGUAAGGCAGCUGAAAAGUCCAUUGUAAACCUGCUGGCUUCAUGACCAAAGGAAUCAGAGGACUGAACUCAUGGCAGCUACAGCUAGGAAGCUGAAGGGACCAUCCCAGAAAGCAGAGAGCCAGAAGGUGGAAGCCCGAGCUAUAAAAUGAAUGCUGGCUAUUCAGCAGGAAGGCCAGAAGGCAAAGGGGCAGCAUGGCACCAUUCAAGAAGCACCAGCCUGGGAGACUGAGGACAAGGGACCAGGAAUAGAACUACACCACUAGGAAUUCCUCCAGAAGCACAAGAACUAGAUAUGAAGGAUAAAACUGUUCACUGGUCCAGGUCUCUGAUAAAAUUACUAUGUAAGCAUCAAAUUCUUAUGUCAUUUAAUAUCAGAAUAAAUGGUAAUUAGAGAGAAACUGAUGGAUUAGCUUAGCUGUGAAGUGUAAUGGUUGCAAAAUUAAAUACACUGCCACUAAGUAGAAAUUUUAAGCAUAACCACUUUCAAAGGAAAUAGAUUUUUCAAAUAGCCUCUUUGGAAGAUUACUUAAUUCGUGUUUAUAAAUUAUGUUAAAGAUGAAAAGCCUUAUUAAAUAUUAGAGCAUCAUCUAAUACUCUAAUUUAUGCGCAGAAUGACAAUUAUCAAAUUGUAACUAAAUAGUGAGAGAGCAUAAUGGUGUAAGGCUUUGAUAAAAGGCCUUGAUUACUAGGAUCAGGAUCUAAGUUGAUUGGUCUUAGGCCAGCCUCUAUUUUCUCUUGUCAGACUAAAUGCAAUUUUCUUUUCAUGAGAAUUAAAAAAUUUAAGAUCAGAGUGUUUGGAUUUAGUUUGACAUUCUAAAUAUCAUUGUUAAUUGAUUUUGACAGAGCUAAUCAAUUGUCUUCUUUAAAUCUUAAAUUAGGAGUUCUCGUCAUGGCUCAGGGAUUAAUGAACCCGACUAGU
This is a long non-coding RNA of Phacochoerus africanus (Common warthog), 943 nucleotides long. RefSeq lists it as uncharacterized. Lineage: Eukaryota; Metazoa; Chordata; Mammalia; Artiodactyla; Suidae. The record is from RefSeq and is a predicted model, not a curated record. The transcript is spliced from 3 exons.